UAAAAGAAAUGAGAGACAGUUUGUAUGUCUCUGCGUUGAGGAGAACACCGAGGUAGAACAAAAUCAACGGCCGAGAUAUCGUUUCAGUCGUCAUUUUAUGGAUUGGCGAUCUGAUUGUUGCUCGUCCACAU
This is a small nucleolar RNA of Quercus robur (English oak), 131 nucleotides long. RefSeq annotates it as small nucleolar RNA snoR111. The transcript has a single exon. The record is from RefSeq and is a predicted model, not a curated record. Lineage: Eukaryota; Viridiplantae; Streptophyta; Magnoliopsida; Fagales; Fagaceae.